CCUGGAGACUCCUACGGGAGGCAGCAGUGAGGAAUAUUGGUCAAUGGACGUAAGUCUGAACCAGCCAAGUAGCGUGCAGGAUGACUGCCCUAUGGGUUGUAAACUGCUUUUAUGCGGGGAUAAAGUCAGCCACGUGUGGUUGUUUGCAGGUACCGCAUGAAUAAGGACCGGCUAAUUCCGUGCCAGCAGCCGCGGUAAUACGGAAGGUCCAGGCGUUAUCCGGAUUUAUUGGGUUUAAAGGGAGCGUAGGCUGUUGGUUAAGCGUGUUGUGAAAUGUAGAUGCUCAACAUCUGAAUUGCAGCGCGAACUGUCCGACUUGAGUGCGCGGAAAGCAGGCGGAAUUCGUUGUGUAGCGGUGAAAUGCUUAGAUAUGACGAAGAACUCCGAUUGCGAAGGCAGCUUGCUGUAGCGUAACUGACGCUGAAGCUCGAAAGUGCGGGUAUCGAACAGGAUUAGAUACCCUUGUAGUCCUAG
This 474-nucleotide ribosomal RNA is filed under the name uncultured bacterium. RNAcentral describes it as "bacterial SSU rRNA". It matches the Rfam family "Bacterial small subunit ribosomal RNA", at positions 328 to 799 of the family's 1533-position model. The record is from RNAcentral.